UACGAAAUCAUUACUCAUACAUACUUAAGUCUUCAUCGGACGUACGAAUGCUGACAAAGAGAAUGUGUUUGCAAUGGUUAAUAAAGAAAUCACAAGCAUGUUUUAACUGCUUGUGUUUUCUUUUCAGAAGUUGUUAUAACUGGUUCUGUGGUAAUUACAACUCAGUAAACGGCGAUAUGGAUUUACAGAAACACUGCGAAAAGGUCAACGUAGCUAUAAUACGGGAUUCAAUGAAGAAUAUUCAUAGGAGGUAUAUGUUGCAAGUCGUUGAUGCAACCUGUGCUAUCAUCCAUCAGAUUGAUUGUAACCAUAGUUACCUACUUAGCAAUCUUACACUCAACGUGUAUUAUAAAACGAAGUUCUACCAGUUCAGAAGUGGUACCGGAGAACACAUCGUCAUUGUUAAUUAUGCAAACAAAACAAUUUCUUGCAACUGUAUUAACUGUCCAUCUGAAGUCAAAAGCAUUGUAAAAAACACAUAUAGCAUUUAAAAGGAUUCUUAUAAUCUACGAGGAAACACUUUAAUGUUUAUGUACGUCAACAAAACAGUUUAGGUUUCUUUAAAAACAAAUGCUGCUGAAUGGGUAAUACAUAGUUUAUAUGAAUAAAUUUUCAAUUGAAUAAAA
Molecule: long non-coding RNA, 626 nt
Organism: Mytilus californianus (California mussel)
Lineage: Eukaryota; Metazoa; Mollusca; Bivalvia; Mytilida; Mytilidae
Exons: 2
Source: RefSeq, a predicted model, not a curated record